UGCCGGCGACCGGCGCACGGGUGAGUAACACGUAUGUAACCUGCCCUAUGCAGGGGGAUAACCCGGAGAAAUCCGGCCUAAUACCGCGUAACACCUUUUGGGAGCAUUCCCGGGAGGUUAAAGGAGAGAUCCGGCAUAGGAUGGACAUGCGUCGCAUUAGGUAGACGGCGGGGUAACGGCCCACCGUGCCGACGAUGCGUAGGGGUUCUGAGAGGAAGGCCCCCCACACUGGUACUGAGACACGGACCAGACUCCUACGGAAGGCAGCAG
RNAcentral lists this ribosomal RNA (270 nucleotides) under uncultured bacterium. Its description in RNAcentral is "partial 16S ribosomal RNA". It matches the Rfam family "Bacterial small subunit ribosomal RNA", at positions 86 to 354 of the family's 1533-position model. The record is from RNAcentral.